GCCCUUGUAGUACAGACCAAUACACCAGUCUUGUAAACCGGAAAC
Molecule: transfer RNA, 45 nt
Filed under: Gorilla gorilla (western gorilla)
Lineage: Eukaryota; Metazoa; Chordata; Mammalia; Primates; Hominidae
Description: tRNA-Thr
Source: RNAcentral